Molecule: ribosomal RNA, 253 nt
Filed under: uncultured bacterium
Lineage: Bacteria
Description: partial 16S ribosomal RNA
Rfam family: Bacterial small subunit ribosomal RNA
Source: RNAcentral
UACAGAGGGUGCGAGCGUUAAUCGGAAUUACUGGGCGUAAAGCGUGCGUAGACGGCUAUCUAAGUCGGGUGUGAAAGCCCCGGGCUCAACCUGGGAAUUGCAUUCGAGACUGCACGGCUAGAGUGUGUCAGAGGGGGGUAGAAUUCCACGUGUAGCAGUGAAAUGCGUAGAGAUGUGGAGGAAUACCGAUGGCGAAGGCAGCCCCCUGGGAUAACACUGACGCUCAUGCACGAAAGCGUGGGGAGCAAACAGG